GUGGGGAAUAUUGGACAAUGGGCGAAAGCCUGAUCCAGCCAUGCCGCGUGUGUGAAGAAGGUCUUCGGAUUGUAAAGCACUUUAAGUUGGGAGGAAGGGCAGUAAGUUAAUACCUUGCUGUUUUGACGUUACCGACAGAAUAAGCACCGGCUAACUUCGUGCCAGCAGCCGCGGUAAUACGAAGGGUGCAAGCGUUAAUCGGAAUUACUGGGCGUAAAGCGCGCGUAGGUGGUUUUGUAAGUUGGAGGUGAAAUCCCCGGGAUAAACCUGGGAACUGCCUCCAAAACUGCAUGACUAGAGUACGGUAGAGGGUAGUGGAAUUUCCUGUGUAGCGGUGAAAUGCGUAGAUAUAGGAAGGAACACCAGUGGCGAAGGCGACUACCUGGACUGAUACUGACACUGAGGUGCGAAAGCGUGGGGAGCAAACAGGAUUAGAUACCCGGGUAGUCC
RNAcentral lists this ribosomal RNA (450 nucleotides) under uncultured bacterium. Its description in RNAcentral is "bacterial SSU rRNA". It matches the Rfam family "Bacterial small subunit ribosomal RNA", at positions 354 to 796 of the family's 1533-position model. The record is from RNAcentral.